Long non-coding RNA from Balaenoptera musculus (blue whale), 899 nucleotides. RefSeq lists it as uncharacterized. NCBI's taxonomy places the organism in Eukaryota, Metazoa, Chordata, Mammalia, Artiodactyla, Balaenopteridae. The transcript has 2 exons. The record is from RefSeq and is a predicted model, not a curated record.
UGAAAUGGAAUCAACGCUGAGAAUUUCACAAUAACAUUUCUAAGUGUGUGUGUGUAUGCAGCGCUUAGGCUUCUCAAGUGAAAUGACAACUCACCCCUACCCCUUGUAAUUUCCUGCUCUGCUGGCUGUGGUGAUAAACAUUUAACCUGGUUUAAGGAAAUAAACAACUACUCCAUCCUACCGGUCCCCUCUGGAUUCCUUCAUCCAUUUUGUGUUUCUCCUUUGCCUUGAAGCAAGUAGUUCAUCAUUCCCAAGAAUAUCUGAAAUCGUUGCCACCCACCUCUACCUGGCUGCUGGAUUGUGAAGCUGUUCAUGACCGCUGCUCAGACACAAAUAAGAAUGGAAAAAGAAGGAAGCUUAACUGGGCUUUUUUUUUCCAUGGAAUCAUCUUUUAGAUUAGAGGACCGACUCUGAAUUUAGGUGAUUCCUCUUAGCAGUUUGGAAAACACUUCAAAGGACCACGGUCUGCGAAACCUGAAUAGAUGUCUUGCUGGUAGAGUGUUUUUGGAGUGCAAAGUUGCUCUAGUUCCCAGGGUCACCCUGUGCUGCAUCCCAGGAGGAGUGUGCAGCUGGGAAAAGUCCACCCUGGGCAAUAAGUCCAAAGGCUUAAGAUGGACGGCUCUUCGUCCCAACUUCCUGAUGGAGACCAGCAUGGCAGUGGAUGUGAAAGGACUUCAUACUCUGUAGGAUUAUGACAGCCAUGUGAACAAGCCUGUGUGAGUUGGCUAGAAACGAACACCACUUGGUGGAGAGCUGUCAUCCCAAACCGAGACCACUGAGAGCGGCCAGCACCCACUUCACCUGCCAACUAACCUCAAGUACAUGAGUGAGCUUAGCUGCGGUCAGGCCAACAGAGUCCAGCUCCGCAGAACCAUUCCACUGAUCAACUCACAGACAGG